Molecule: ribosomal RNA, 492 nt
Filed under: uncultured bacterium
Lineage: Bacteria
Description: partial 16S ribosomal RNA
Rfam family: Bacterial small subunit ribosomal RNA
Source: RNAcentral
AGUGAACGCUGGCGGUAGGCCUAACACAUGCAAGUCGAACGGCAGCACAGUAAGAGCUUGCUCUUACGGGUGGCGAGUGGCGUACGGGUGAGGAAUACAUCGGAAUCUACUUUUUCGUGGGGGAUAACGUAGGGAAACUUACGCUAAUACCGCAUACGACCUACGGUUGAAAGCAGGGGAUCUUCGGACCUUGCGCGAUUGAAUGAGCCGAUGUCGGAUUAGCUAGUUGGCGGGGUAAAGGCCCACCAAGGCGACGAUCCGUAGCUGGUCUGAGAGGAUGAUAAGCCACACUGGAACUGAGACACGGUCCAGACUACUAAGGGAGGCAGCAGUGGGGAAUAUUGGACAAUGGGGGCAAGCCUGAUCCAGCCAUACCGAGUGGGUGACGAAGGCCUUCGGGUUGUAAAGCCCUUUUGUUGGGAAAGAAAAGCAGCAGGUUAAUACCCCGCUGUUCUGACGGUACCCAAAGAAUAAGCACCGGCUAACUUCGUG